Molecule: ribosomal RNA, 403 nt
Filed under: uncultured bacterium
Lineage: Bacteria
Description: bacterial SSU rRNA
Rfam family: Bacterial small subunit ribosomal RNA
Source: RNAcentral
GGGGAUAUUGCACAAUGGGGGGAACCCUGAUGCAGCGACGCCGCGUGGGUGAAGGAGCGUUUCGGCGCGUAAAGCCCUAUCGGCAGGGAAGAAGGAGGACGGUACCUGACUAAGAAGCCCCGGCUAACUACGUGCCAGCAGCCGCGGUAAUACGUAGGGGGCAAGCGUUAUCCGGAUUUACUGGGUGUAAAGGGAGCGUAGACGGUUAUGCAAGUCUGGAGUGAAAGCCCGGGGCUCAACCCCGGGACUGCUUUGGAAACUGUAAAACUGGAGUGCAGGAGAGGCAGGCGGAAUUCCUAGUGUAGCGGUGAAAUGCGUAGAUAUUAGGAGGAACACCAGUGGCGAAGGCGGCCUGCUGGACUGUAACUGACGUUGAGGCUCGAAGGCGUGGGGAGCAAACAGG